GGAUCAUGGCUCAGUGGUAGAGUGUUUGCCUAGCAUGUAUGAGGCACUGGGUUUGAUUCUCAGCACCA
RNAcentral lists this transfer RNA (68 nucleotides) under Marmota monax (woodchuck). Its description in RNAcentral is "tRNA.Ala". Lineage: Eukaryota; Metazoa; Chordata; Mammalia; Rodentia; Sciuridae. The record is from RNAcentral.